Humulus lupulus (European hop) is the source of this 440-nucleotide long non-coding RNA. RefSeq lists it as uncharacterized. The record is from RefSeq and is a predicted model, not a curated record. Lineage: Eukaryota; Viridiplantae; Streptophyta; Magnoliopsida; Rosales; Cannabaceae. The transcript has 2 exons.
UCCUCGCCUGAGCGAAGAACCCAUACUCGUCGACCGCCACCUGAGAAGAAAAACCCAAAUGUGCAUGAGUGGGGUGCGUCUUUCGUCCUCCCCUUUAGCCCAAAAAUCCUUAGAAGGUUUAUGAGAAGAAACGCCCAAAAAAAAAUACUCUGGUUUAUGCCAUAAUUUCAACCAAAUGCCCAGGCCGCUCAAUUGAAUGGGGCAAGACGAUCUCAUCGAGGUCUACACCAUCGUCGUCUAUACAUACUGCUAACAGCAAAUACAUAUUCCAUACAUAAAGGACAGAUGAAAUGAUUUAUGAGUUUUUGUUUGGGUAGGUUCUCUUUUCUACUUAUGUGUAAGCUUUCUUUUAUAGGUUUUUGUUGGACCACAUAGAGACUUAGAGCAGGACUAAGACUGUAAUGGAUUACAUUGUUGUCUACACAUCUUUGCUUUCUUUA